RNAcentral lists this long non-coding RNA (1279 nucleotides) under Mus musculus (house mouse). RNAcentral's name for it is "long non-coding RNA chr16:42180423-42181702". Lineage: Eukaryota; Metazoa; Chordata; Mammalia; Rodentia; Muridae. The record is from RNAcentral.
GCCUCUUUUUAUUUUUUUAUUUUUUUUAACAGCUUGAAUUGGUAUAGUUUAAAGCAGCCAUGAGUGAAACAGGACAAAAAAGCCUAUCUGGGAGGCAGGGUUAAAAGAGAGUGAGAGAUGUAAAAGCUAAAACCAAAUGUGAAAGUUAAGUUUCCGGAGCAGUAACGGAGGGAUUGUUCUGUUGGGCCACAUCCUGAGCCGACUCAGCGCAGGUCCACUUGUGAGUCCCACUCUGUCUUCACCAUUCAGCUCAACACCUUGUCCGGUCACCUUUUUUUCAUGAAUCUUCCCAAAGAGCACAAAGAAUAGGGCUCUCCUGGACACCGAGGAGCAGAGUUCACUCAUCACCACCUCCGGCGUUAGGUAUCACUGUUUAUAUGAGGAUGCGCAGUGGGUUUACGGUACUCUGGACACUCUGUAAGGGGAGAGAGACCCGCCCACCCAACACCUCCCCAGUCCCAUCGAUCCUUCCUAGGCACAGCUUUUUGGAUGGUGCUCGUGAGUCCACCCGACAGCUACAUUCUUCCCAACACAACCCCCCCUGUGUAAUAUCUAGGCACGGUAAAAAUCUGCUUCUUGCAAUUGAAGAAAAUCCACGGAGCUAGCUUCCUGGCGUACCACAGCAACCCUCGCCACCCGUCAGGAGCCUCUUUUGAACUCCCUUACCUAAGUCUUUGCUCUUCACCUGAGCAUGAACACGGUUCAUCCUGGUGAACUUCGGCCACGUUCUGCUCCAUAAGUAUUUGCUGGGGGGGGGGGGGGGGGGCUAAAGGGAGGAAAUAAAAAGGGGAGGGAAGGAUACCUCCCACUUCUCCCCAGCCCUGCUUCACCCUCCCUUUCCAUUUGCUCUCCUGGAGGUUGUAUAAAUCCUGUUCUUGGUUAGACGUCUCCUCAUUAACAGUGUUAUAUGCAUAUAAAUAUAUAUAUAAAAUAUAUUCCUUUUUUCCAGCCCUGUAGACAUGAACUGAUCUUCCCUUGACGAUAUAAAAACAUGGCCAUUUUCUGGUUCAGUUGAUUUGUCGCUCAAGUUACUUUAUUUUUGUUUAUUGGGUGGAUAUUUUUUCCCUGAAUACUAGCUCUGUGAAGGAAAGUAAAAAAGCGCAAUGUGUGUAAAAAAAAAUUAAAAUUAAAGAAAAGCUUUUUUUUUUCUUUUUAAAUGUAUUUAAAUUCUGGUUCUCUCUUCUGUUACUUUACACGUAUGAAUGCUCUGCUCUUCUGUGAUCUUAAAACAAAAUGAAAUAAACGUGAAAAGGAGAUGUGUCUUGGUUGACCUGAAUCC